Molecule: microRNA precursor, 189 nt
Organism: Oryza sativa Indica Group (long-grained rice)
Lineage: Eukaryota; Viridiplantae; Streptophyta; Magnoliopsida; Poales; Poaceae
Rfam family: MIR812 microRNA precursor family
Source: Rfam
AAAAAGACAAAUACUGGAUUUCCGUGUUCAACGUUUGACCGUCCGUCUUAUUGGAAAAAUUAUGAAAAAAUUAAAAAGACAAGUCACAAAUAAAGCAUUAAUCAUGUUUUAUCAUCUAUAAUUAUAAAAAGGUUUCAUAUAAGACAGACAGUCAAAUGUUGGACAUGUAAAUCUAUGGUUUAUUUUGUG